AGAGUUCGAUCCUGGCUCAGGAUGAACAUUGGCGGCGUGCUUAACACAUGCAAGUCAGACGGGAAAUCGUGUUUGUAGUGGCAGACGGGUGAGUAAUGUGUAAGAACCUGCCCUUGGGAGGGGAACAACAAUUGGAAACGGCUACUAAUACCCUGUAGGCUGAGGAGCAAAAGGAGGAAUCCGCCCGAGGAGGGGCUCGCGUCUGAUUAGCUAGUUGGUGAGGCAAUAGCUUACCAAGGCGAUGAUCAGUAGCUGAUCCGAGAGGAUGAUCAGCCACACUGGGAUUGAGACACGGCCCAGAAUCCUACGGGAGGCAGCAAUGGGGAUUUUCUGCAAUAGGUGAAAGCCUGACGGAGCAAUGCCGCGUGGAGGUAGAAAGCCCAAGGGUCGUGAACUUCUUUUCCCGGAGAAGAAGCAAUGACGGUAUCUGGGGAGUAAGCGUCGGCUAACUCUGUGCCAGUAGCCGCGGUAAUACAGAAGAUGCAAGCGUUAUCUAGAAUGAUUGGGCGUAAAGCAUCUGUAGGUGGCUUUUUAAGUCCGCCAUCAAAUCCCAGGGCUCAACCCUGGACAGGCAGUGGAAACUACCAAGCUAGAGUACAGUAGGAGCAGAGGGAAUUUUCGGUGGAGUGGUGAAAUACGUAGAGAUCAGAAAGAACACCAACGGUAAAAGCACUCUGCUGGGCCGACACUGACACUGAGAGACGAAAGCUGGGGAACGAAUGGGAUUAGAUACCCUAGUAGUCCUAGCCGUAAACGAUGGAUACUAGGCACUGUGCGUAUCGACCCAUGCAAUGCUGUAGCUAACGAGUUAAGUAUCCCGCCUGGGGAGUACAUUCGCAAGAAUGAAACUCAAAGGAAUUGACGGAGCCCGCACAAGUUAUGGAGCAUGUGGUUUAAUUCGAUGCAAAGUGAAGAACCUUACCAGGGCUUGACAUGCCGCGAAUCCUCUUGAAAGAGAGAGGUGCCUUCUGGAAUACGGACACAGGUGGUGCAUGGCUGUCUUCAGCUCAUACUGUAAGGUGUUGGGUUAAGUCCCGAAACGAGCGCAACCCUCGAGUUUGUUGCCACCGUUGAGUUUGGAACCCUGAGCAGACUACCGGUGAUAAGCCGGAGGAAGGUGAAGAUGACGUCAAGUGAUCAUGCCCCUUAUGCCUUGGGCGAAACACGUGCUACAAUGGACAGGACAAAGGGUCGCGAUCCCGCGAGGGUGAGCUAACUCAAAAAACCCGUCCUCAGUUCGGAUUACAGGAUGCAACUCGCCUACAUGAAGCCGGAAUCACUAGUAAUCGCCGGUCAGCCAUACGGUGGUGAAUUUGUUCCCGGGCCUUGUACACACCGCCCGUCACACUAUGGGAGCUAGCCAUGCCCAAAGUCGUUACCUUAACCGCAAAGAGGGGGAUGCCGAAGGCAAGGCUAGUGACUGGAGUGAAGUCAUAACAAGGUAGCUGUACUAGAAGGUGCGGCUA
RNAcentral lists this ribosomal RNA (1466 nucleotides) under Gossypium barbadense (sea-island cotton). RNAcentral describes it as "bacterial SSU rRNA". It matches the Rfam family "Bacterial small subunit ribosomal RNA". Lineage: Eukaryota; Viridiplantae; Streptophyta; Magnoliopsida; Malvales; Malvaceae. The record is from RNAcentral.